This 459-nucleotide ribosomal RNA is filed under the name uncultured bacterium. Its description in RNAcentral is "partial 16S ribosomal RNA". It matches the Rfam family "Bacterial small subunit ribosomal RNA", at positions 338 to 795 of the family's 1533-position model. The record is from RNAcentral.
CCUACGGGCGGCAGCAGUGAGGAAUAUUGGUCAAUGGGCGAGAGCCUGAACCAGCGAAGUCGCGUGAGGGAAGACGGUCCUAUGGAUUGUAAACCUCUUUUGCCGGGGAGCAAAAAGCGGUACGUGUACAGCAUCGAGAGUACCCGGAGAAAAAGCAUCGGCUAACUCGGUGCGAGCAGCCGCGGUAAUCCGGGGUAGGAGAGCGUUAGCCGGCUUUAGUGGGUGUAAAGGGUUCGCAGGGGGCGAGUUAAGUCAGCGAAAAAAUUUCGGGGCUCAACCCGGAACAGCCGUUGAAAAUGGGCUGCUAGAGUGGGCGAGAGGUAUGCGGAAUGCGUGGUGUAGCGGUGAAAUGCAUAGAUAUUACGAGGAACUCCGAUGGCGAAGGCAGCAGACCGGCGCCGAACUGACGCUCAGGCACGAAAGCGUGGGUAGCGAACAGGAUUAGAUACCCUAGUAGUC